UGUAUCUCUAUUUCAUUUUUACUUUGAAAAUGAAAUGGAACAGACAAAUUUUACUUGUCAACUUAAUAAUGGUCUGUCUAGUCAAAAGGCCUCCAGUUGGUUUAGAAUGGAGAAUCUAAAAAAAAAUAUGUAAAGUGUUUUUUUUUAGUUUCCUGAAUUUUUAUAUACAUUUUGUUAUUGCUCCCUUUCAAUUUUUAUAAAUUCCAGAUUUUAAGUUUUGGAUUUAUGGGGCUUUAUUCAUAAAAAAAGGGGGAUUUUUCACACCUGGACAAUAACUCAAAAAGGCUUUCACCAAUGUCCAUGAAACUUUGGUGAAUUGUUUAUAUCUGUUGACAUAAGCUCCCUUUCCCUUUUUAUUAAUUUUAGAUUUUACGUUUUCUUAAGUAAUGAAUUUUUAUACUUAAAAAAGGGGGAUUUUAUGCAGUUUUGGUGAAACUUAAAAGAGCAACGGCCGUAUCAUGUGCUAAAGCGCAUCCCUUUAUUGAAAUGUGUUGUAGUUUUUACAUAUUAUUAUUUCUUUAUUUUAAUUAUACAAAUUUUGUAUUGUUAAAUAUUUAAAGGGUGUGGAGUCGCAACAGUGUGAAAUUUUCAGGACAAAAGGGAGGUAAUUCCUUUGUUAUACUCAUUAUACUUGAAAUUUCCUGAGUGUUUAUAUGGAAUAUAACUUUUUUAAUUAAAAUAUUCACUUUUGUACACAUUUUCUUUAAAUAUCAGAUGUAUACUUGCUAAAAUUACUUUUAUUUAGAGUUCUGUAAAUAAAAAAAAAUGUAAGCAGAGCUCUAGCUAUAGAUAAUAGAUUUGGAGGGUGGGAGAAAUUGUGGGUAAUUACAAUUGAUUAGGUGAAAUUUCAAAAGACUUAAAAAGUGCAUCUGAUAUUUAUUUUUACAUAAUGUUAUUUCUGAAAGCAAAUGGACAAUAAGAUGAGGACAUAAACCACCUUCCAGGUUAGGAUAGCAGCUCUUAAGGAAGAUGGUCAAUUAAAUCUUCAACCCAGUCUGAGGCCUUACCAUGAAAAAUAUGUGGUUGUUGAAAUUACAAUGUUUUCAUGGUGUGGGGAGUAAGACUUGAAUAUCUGAUAUUGUUAACAUGAUGGUUAGCAUCACAACUUUCCUUUGGGUAACUUGCUUGAGGAGUAAAGAGAGCUGUUUAAGUUGAAAGUGUCACCUUUGCUGCCUUGUGUGGUACAAUCUUCAGACAAUAUCCUGCAAAACGUGGCUGAACUGUUACUAUCUUUUUUUAGUAGAAUCCUUAGACAGUAAUCUUGUGGCAGAAUGAGUUGUAAACAAAUUGUUUUUAUUCCUGUAUUGAGUUUCAAAUUGGAUAUUUUUUUAUUUAUAUUAUUUGUAUUCCAUUUGCAUUCAAUUAUUGUUUUUUAAUUGAUGAAUCAUUAAAACUUAAAUUUUGCGGGGUCCUAAAGAACUUUCUUAGAGGGGGCCAGCGCAAUUGAUUAAACAAAAUUUUUCCAGCAACAGGGAGAGGAGACAUCCCCAUAAAUAUGCCUUUGAAAUGGGGUGUUAAAGAAGAUUUGUAUUGUUUGUUUGUUUGUCCAUCAUCAGCUCUCAUCCACAGCUUGGUAGAUUUUCAUUGAAACUUUCAGCUGAUUUUCUGUACUAAAGGCAGUAUGUGUUUUAAUUUAUUAUAAUGAAAUUUUGGGUUUUCCCAACCUUUUUGAAGUGAAAACAAUGGAACACAGUGUUGGCAGAUACUGAAGAUUAUUUGAAAGUUUAGAGAAAGUCCCAUUUAAUCUUGAUAAUUGUGGGUUAAAGUUGUAGAUGGAUAAACAAACAUAUCAUACACUUACUCACUUUACCUAUUUGCGAAUCCAGAACUUAACAUAAAGGGGCCCAACACCAGUCAUUUCCUGUACAAUUAACCAAAUUUUU
This is a long non-coding RNA of Mytilus trossulus (common blue mussel), 1883 nucleotides long. RefSeq lists it as uncharacterized. Lineage: Eukaryota; Metazoa; Mollusca; Bivalvia; Mytilida; Mytilidae. The transcript has 4 exons. The record is from RefSeq and is a predicted model, not a curated record.